ACAGGCUUAACACAUGCAAGUCGAGGGGCAGCAUGGUCUUAGCUUGCUAAGGCCGAUGGCGACCGGCGCACGGGUGAGUAACACGUAUCCAACCUGCCGUCUACUCUUGGACAGCCUUCUGAAAGGAAGAUUAAUACAAGAUGGCAUCAUGAGUCCGCAUGUUCACAUGAUUAAAGGUAUUCCGGUAGACGAUGGGGAUGCGUUCCAUUAGAUAGUAGGCGGGGUAACGGCCCACCUAGUCUUCGAUGGAUAGGGGUUCUGAGAGGAAGGUCCCCCACAUUGGAACUGAGACACGGUCCAAACUCCUACGGGAGGCAGCAGUGAGGAAUAUUGGUCAAUGGGCGAGAGCCUGAACCAGCCAAGUAGCGUGAAGGAUGACUGCCCUAUGGGUUGUAAACUUCUUUUAUAAAGGAAUAAAGUCGGGUAUGCAUACCCGUUUGCAUGUACUUUAUGAAUAAGGAUCGGCUAACUCCGUGCCAGCAGCCGCGGUAAUACGGAGGAUCCGAGCGUUAUCCGGAUUUAUUGGGUUUAAAGGGAGCGUAGAUGGAUGUUUAAGUCAGUUGUGAAAGUUUGCGGCUCAACCGUAAAAUUGCAGUUGAUACUGGAUAUCUUGAGUGCAGUUGAGGCAGGCGGAAUUCGUGGUGUAGCGGUGAAAUGCUUAGAUAUCACGAAGAACUCCGAUUGCGAAGGCAGCCUGCUAAGCUGCAACUGACAUUGAGGCUCGAAAGUGUGGGUAUCAAACAGGAUUAGAUACCCUGGUAGUCCACACGGUAAACGAUGAAUACUCGCUGUUUGCGAUAUACAGCAAGCGGCCAAGCGAAAGCGUUAAGUAUUCCACCUGGGGAGUACGCCGGCAACGGUGAAACUCAAAGGAAUUGACGGGGGCCCGCACAAGCGGAGGAACAUGUGGUNUAAUUCGAUGAUACGCGAGGAACCUUACCCGGGCUUAAAUUGCAGAUGAAUUACGGUGAAAGCCGUAAGCCGCAAGGCAUCUGUGAAGGUGCUGCAUGGUUGUCGUCAGCUCGUGCCGUGAGGUGUCGGCUUAAGUGCCAUAACGAGCGCAACCCUUGUUGUCAGUUACUAACAGGUUCUGCUGAGGACUCUGACAAGACUGCCAUCGUAAGAUGUGAGGAAGGUGGGGAUGACGUCAAAUCAGCACGGCCCUUACGUCCGGGGCUACACACGUGUUACAAUGGGGGGUACAGAGGGCCGCUACCACGCGAGUGGAUGCCAAUCCCAAAAACCUCUCUCAGUUCGGACUGGAGUCUGCAACCCGACUCCACGAAGCUGGAUUCGCUAGUAAUCGCGCAUCAGCCACGGCGCGGUGAAUACGUUCCCGGGCCUUGUACAC
This 1351-nucleotide ribosomal RNA is filed under the name uncultured bacterium. RNAcentral describes it as "bacterial SSU rRNA". It matches the Rfam family "Bacterial small subunit ribosomal RNA", at positions 42 to 1388 of the family's 1533-position model. The record is from RNAcentral.